RNAcentral lists this ribosomal RNA (142 nucleotides) under Mesostigma viride. Lineage: Eukaryota; Viridiplantae; Streptophyta; Mesostigmatophyceae; Mesostigmatales; Mesostigmataceae. The record is from RNAcentral.
AACUUUGAGAAAAAAAGAUAUGUAAAAAUUAAUUUUUAAUUUUUUCAAAAAAAAGACCCGAAACCACGCCGAAUUCGAGUUGUCUAAAAAUAUCUAACUCCGUGUACUAAUCACAUUGGGAGACGUAGUCUUUUUCAAAGUU